ACUAAUCACGAUGGAUAUCUUGGCUCUUGAAACGAUGAAGAACGCAGCGAAAUGCGAUAGGUAAUGCGAAUUGCAGAACUCUGUGAGUCAUCAAAUCUUUGAACGCACAUUGCACUUCCUUUGGGAGUAUACUUGUUUGAGUAUUGGUAAUCGGUUCUAACGAUGGUUGAAGAUUGGCUGUGUGGAACAGCUGAAAGGGAAGAGUGGAAUGAAUUGGGUGGGUGCCAAAUUCAUCUCUAUGAAGUCGGCGUUUUACAAAGACGCAAACCCUAAUCUCAAAUCAAGUAAGAAGACCUGCUGAAUUGAAGCAUCUAACUAAGCAGAGGAAAAGAAAAUAACAAUGAUUCCCUUAGUAACGGCGAGUGAAGUGGGAGAAGCCCAAGCCAAAAUCACUGUAAAGUGAGUUGUAGUGUGAAGACUGGUGUGAAGGUGAAGAAGCAUCGAAUUUGAUUGGAAAGUCAAGUCAUAGAAGGUGAAAACCCUGUAAGAUGCGUCUCUUCACCCCUAAAAUACCAGUUCGUGGAGUCGAGUUGUUUGGGAUUGCAACUCGAAGUUGGUGGUAAACAUCAUCAAAGGCUAAAUAGUGUCAAGAGACCGAUAGCGAACAAGUACCGUGAGGGAAAGAUGAAAAGAACUUUGAAAAAAGAGUGAAAUAGUACUUGAAAUCGUGGUUAGGUUAAGCGCAGAGGCUGAGUGGUAUUGUAGAACUUGUGUCCUUUACAGUUGUGAAGGGUUUAAGUUGUAUGAUAGGUGUUUGUGGUGUUUGUCUCCUCCAACCUAGAGGGGGAUGAGCACCCCACACACAAAAUCAACCUCUUCGUCCCGUCUUGAAACACGGACCAAGGAGUCUAUCAUGGAUGCGAGUACGUUGGUGUCAAACCAAAGUGCGUAAUGAAAGUAAAUCGUGUGAUCAUUGAAAGAUGCGCAACAUGUGCCGAUCUGGAUUCUGUGAAGAAAGAUUCGAGUAAUAGCAUUUAUGGUGGGACCCGAAAGAUGGUGAACUAUGCCUGAAUAGGACGAAGCCAGGGGAAACUCUGGUGGAGGUUCGAGUGGAUUCUAACGUGCAAAUUGAUCUUUAAAUUUGGGUAUAGGGGCGAAAGACUAAUCGAACCAUCUAGUAGCUGGUUCCUUCCGAAAUUUCCCUCAGGAUAGCUGCAACUUAUGAAAUAGUUUUAUGAGGUAAAGCGAAUGAUUAGAGGCUUCGGGAAUGUACUAUUCUUGACCUAUUCUCAAACUUUAAAUGGGUAAGAAGCAGUUGAUGUUUAGUUAAUCAGCUGUGAUGAAUAUGAGUUGCAAGUGGGCCAUUCCGGGUAAGCUGGACUGGCGAUGCGGGAUCAACCGAACGCUAUGGUACGGCGCCUGAUUAUUCGCUCAGUAGGACGUAAAAGGUGUUAGUUCAUCUAGACAGCAGGACGGUGGCCAUGGAAGUCGGAAUCCGCUAAGGAGUGUGUAACAACUCACCUGCCGAAUGAAGUAGCCCUGAAAAUGGAUGGCGCUCAAGCGAAUAGCCUAACCAUAGCCAUUCAACUUAGUCGUAAAGUUGAAUGAGUAGGAAGGCGUGAUGGAGGUAGAGAAGACUAGCGUGUGAACGCAGUUGGAACGUCCAUUAGUGCAGAUCUUGGUGGAAGUAGCAAAUAUUCAAAUGAGAUCUUUGAAGACUGAAGUGGAGAAAGGUUCCAUAGGAAUCGUGAUGAUCUAUGGGUUAGUCGAUCCUAAGAGAUAGGUGAAAUCCAUUGAAAGGAUGACGUUAGUCAUCGUCUAUCGAAAGGGAAUCAGGUUAAUAUUCCUGAACCAAUAGAAGUGUGUCGGUAACGGUAUUGGGAUUGAAGACAUUGAUGGUACUCCUGGGAAGAGUUGUCUUUUCUUGUUAACAAAUGGCAGUCCUUGGAAUAAAUUCAGUUUGCGAGAAGGAUUGUGGUUUGGUAAAGGUUCCUGCUUGUUGGGAGCUCUGGUGCAGUAUCAGCAGUCCUUGAAAAUUCAAUCUCAACGUAACUUCUAUUGUUCGUACUCAUAACCGCAUCAGGUCUCCAAGGUGAAUAGCCUCUAGUUAAUAGAAUAAUGUAGGUAAGGGAAGUCGGCAAAUUAGAUCCGUAACUUCGGGAAAAGGAUUGGCUCUGAGGGCUAAGCAGAAUGAGUAUUGGUUAGGAAACGGCUUGUGGUGCAUGGGUUUGUUGUGCUUUCGGGUGUGAUGAAUGUGUGUACUAUGAAAAGGGCCUUAGCUUCUACUUCCCUGCAAUGAAUAGCUAACUCAGAACUGGUACGGACAAGGGGAAUCCGACUGUUUAAUUAAAACAAAGCAUUGUGAUGGUGUGAAAGAUAUGUUGACACAAUGUGAAUUCUGCCCAGUGCUCUGAAUGUCAAAGUGAAGGAAUUCAACCAAGCGCGGGUAAACGGCGG
This 2397-nucleotide ribosomal RNA is filed under the name human gut metagenome. RNAcentral describes it as "eukaryotic LSU rRNA". The stretch from base 271 to 2397 matches the Rfam family "Eukaryotic large subunit ribosomal RNA", at positions 1 to 2256 of the family's 3401-position model. The record is from RNAcentral.